GGGGCUGUGGCUCAGCGGUGCAGCGCUCGCCUAGCAUGUGCGAGGCCCUGGGUUCGAUCCUCAGCACCCCA
Molecule: transfer RNA, 71 nt
Filed under: Ictidomys tridecemlineatus (thirteen-lined ground squirrel)
Lineage: Eukaryota; Metazoa; Chordata; Mammalia; Rodentia; Sciuridae
Description: Spermophilus tridecemlineatus (thirteen-lined ground squirrel) tRNA
Rfam family: tRNA
About the family: Transfer RNA (tRNA) molecules are approximately 80 nucleotides in length. Their secondary structure includes four short double-helical elements and three loops (D, anti-codon, and T loops). Further hydrogen bonds mediate the characteristic L-shaped molecular structure. tRNAs have two regions of fundamental functional importance: the anti-codon, which is responsible for specific mRNA codon recognition, and the 3' end, to which the tRNAs corresponding amino acid is attached (by aminoacyl-tRNA synthetases). tRNAs cope with the degeneracy of the genetic code in two manners: having more than one tRNA (with a specific anti-codon) for a particular amino acid; and 'wobble' base-pairing, i.e. permitting non-standard base-pairing at the 3rd anti-codon position.
Source: Rfam by way of RNAcentral